RNAcentral lists this unclassified non-coding RNA (334 nucleotides) under soil metagenome. RNAcentral describes it as "partial contains 5.8S ribosomal RNA, internal transcribed spacer 2, and large subunit ribosomal RNA". The stretch from base 1 to 120 matches the Rfam family "5.8S ribosomal RNA", at positions 35 to 154 of the family's 154-position model. The record is from RNAcentral.
GAUGAAGAACGCAGUGAAAUGCGAUAAGUAGUGUGAAUUGCAGAAUUCAGUGAAUCAUCGAAUCUUUGAACGCACAUUGCGCCCCUUGGUACUCCAUGGGGCAUGCCUGUUCGAGCGUCAUUUACACCCUCAAGCUCAGCUUGGUGUUGGGCGUCUGUCCCGCUUCGUGCGCGGACUCGCCUCAAAUGCAUUGGCAGCGGUCUUGCCAGCUUCUCGCGCAGCACAUUGCGCUUCUAGAGGCUUUGGCGGAUCGGCGUCCAUCAAGUACACCCACAGUUUGACCUCGGAUCAGGUAGGGAUACCCGCUGAACUUAAGCAUAUCAAUAGCGGAGGA